This 403-nucleotide ribosomal RNA is filed under the name bacterium. RNAcentral's name for it is "partial 16S ribosomal RNA". It matches the Rfam family "Bacterial small subunit ribosomal RNA", at positions 355 to 776 of the family's 1533-position model. The record is from RNAcentral.
UGGGGAAUAUUGCACAAUGGGGGAAACCCUGAUGCAGCGACGCCGCGUGAACGAAGAAGGUAUUCGUAUCGUAAAGUUCUGUCCUAUGGGAAGAUAAUGACAGUACCAUAGAAGAAAGCUCCGGCUAAAUACGUGCCAGCAGCCGCGGUAAUACGUAUGGAGCGAGCGUUGUCCGGAAUUAUUGGGCGUAAAGGGUACGCAGGCGGUUUAAUAAGUCGAAUGUUAAAGAUCGGGGCUCAACCCCGCAAAGCAUUGGAAACUGAUAAACUUGAGUAGUGGAGAUGAAAGUGGAAUUCCUAGCGUAGUGGUGAAAUACGUAGAUAUUAGGAGGAAUACCAGUAGCGAAGGCGACUUUCUGGACACAAACUGACGCUGAGGUACGAAAGCGUGGGGAGCAAACAGG